Long non-coding RNA from Erigeron canadensis, 371 nucleotides. RefSeq lists it as uncharacterized. NCBI's taxonomy places the organism in Eukaryota, Viridiplantae, Streptophyta, Magnoliopsida, Asterales, Asteraceae. The record is from RefSeq and is a predicted model, not a curated record. The transcript is spliced from 2 exons.
CAAAAAGGUUGGUUAAUAAAACAAAACGUUUAGGGCAUCUUCUUGUUCUAUGCUUUCUUUGUACUUCAAUUAGUUUUAAAGUUUGUUGGUUUGUUCCAAUGAUUAUUAUGAGAUCCCGGUUAUGUUGGUGCCUUGAAGAUAAGUCGAUUCAAAGGAGAACUAUUAGGUUAUGGUGCUCUAGAAGUUCGAGAUAGAGAAGUUUGAUGGGGAAGAAUUAAUGACUUUAGCUUGUGAAGGAUGAUGAUGCUUGUUCAACAAGAUUUGUACAUCUCAUACAAUACAACCGGAAAAGCUUAAUAAAUAAAAGCUAUUGUUUUUGUACGUUUUAUCUUGUUGAUUUUAUUACAAUGGAACAUUGCAAUUUAUCUUAA